RNAcentral lists this long non-coding RNA (1351 nucleotides) under Pan troglodytes (chimpanzee). Its description in RNAcentral is "long non-coding RNA NONPTRT003372". Lineage: Eukaryota; Metazoa; Chordata; Mammalia; Primates; Hominidae. The record is from RNAcentral.
GAAUAAUUAAGCAGCAAGCAGCUUCCCUUCUAGAUCGGGAAACCAAACACAAUAAAACAAUAACAAAUGAAUACCAAGCAACACUCAAACAAAGAAUUGCAUGCUAUACAAGUAAGAACAUAUAAACUCGUGUACACAGUCUCAUGCCUUCCUGUGCCUCCAGCGUCCCCUUCCUUCUCAGCUAUCAUUUACCCCACGUUACUCUCAGUGUUUCCUUCCCUUUCUGCCCUGCUGCUAAGAAGCUCAAAGCUAAGGUUUCUACUCAAUUUCAAUAAGUAGCAAUUCAGACUUUUUGUCAGUUACUGUAUAUUUCCUAGCCCCUAUUACUUGAUUAUUGCUCCUUUAUACCAUUAUAAUGUGUAUGUGUGAGAAUAUGUGUAUCUUUUGGUUCUAACCUAUUAUUGAAAACUGCUUCAAAUCCUUACUGGAAGGAGUCUGGGUUUUUGUUUUUUUAAUGUUGACAAUACUCUCUCAUUAAUUUUAAUAAUUAUCUAUCUCAAAACCUAGAUUAUAAGGACCUAGAAGGAUCCUGCUUGCUUCUAACAAUCCCCCAAAAGAUUUAACACUAGGCACAUGGUAGGCAUCCAGCUGAUACUGGCUGAUACAUAUUUUCAAAAGAGAUUUUAAUAAAAAAAGAAGGCGGCUGGAAGGAAAUAAAACAAUGACAGUAACAUGCGUUACGAUGUUGAGGUUAUAGGUUUCCUUUUCUCUGUUUUUCAAAUUUUCUGCAAUGUGCUUACAACUGUUUUUAUAACCACAACUCUUUUGAUGACGUCUUUUAAAAAUGAAAAAAACAAGUGACUAUACUGGAGUUGAGGUUCACCAGCACGCAUCUUGGGAGACAUGAGCCCUAAACUGUGUCUUCAAGCAAAGGAAUUAAUUUAACACACAGAACUGGCAGAGAGGAGAAGGGAAAUGUGUGCGAGAGAGGAGAAGGGAAAUGUGUGCGAGAAAGCCCUGCAGUGGGACUGAGCAAAGUGCUCAUUCGAAAACAGCCUGCCUUGGAGAAGAAACCAGAGAGAAGGUUUCAAAGUCACGAGUUUGGCAUGAGGAGAGCUGGAGGAAGAGCCCAAGAGACAGUGAAGAGGAAGCAAGAGGCUGUAUACAUAGCCAGCUGGGUUUGGGGGCACCUCAUGAGUAUCCCAUAGCACAAACGGGCAAACUCUGUUACUGGCACAUUAACUAAAAGACAAAACUCCACAUAAACCUGAGUCCUUCCAACCAACCCGGAGACUUACCCAAAUCUAAUCUAAAUAACAACAACAAAAAAGAAAAAAUCCCUAUGAGCCUGUAAGUCAUUAAGGGGGUACAUCUUCAAAUGACAUGCUAUCACUAACCAUGGCUUAAAACC